GAACUAUUCAUUUCGUGUAUUUUAUGUAUACAUCACUUUGUGUUUAUUAAAUGAAUAACUCAUACUUUUUUGGUGUUUCCUGCUGCAGCACAUCGACCUGGCCAUGGACUUGCUGUGAGAUCGAGCUCAAAGACAUCCAAAAUCAUUUGAUGUCCAUGGUCAAGUCAUAUUAAACAUCGAGUUCUUGCGUGCCAUUACCAUAUAGUAUCAGUCGCUCAAACUUAUGGGUAACGAGUACACGGUGCCAGAAUAUAUGCUCGAGUGGGUAAUAGGACUGUCACCGAGUGUUGAGAAAAAAUCAUGGGAGGGUUGUACACAUAUGUACAUUCCAGCAUGCAUCAAUAAACAUUAUGUUACACUGGAGAUUGUUUUUGCUGACUCGACUAUAUAUGUGUACGACCCAGAUCAUUCAUGUUUGACACAAGGCCAGUUGGAGCAAAACCUGGAGUCCGUGGCUGUAAUUGUUCCUAUGAUGGUCGGACGAGCGGGGAUAAAUGUACAGGACAGAUUGCAGAUUGUUCGGAACACGACGACAACGUAACAGUCCGUAAGGUAAGUGUUUGAAAUUUGUUGUUUUUAUCUUUCAGAUUUAGUUUUUACUUACACAGUACUGAAUUGAUUCAUUCUUGUUCAAUUGUAG
RNAcentral lists this long non-coding RNA (640 nucleotides) under Olea europaea subsp. europaea. Lineage: Eukaryota; Viridiplantae; Streptophyta; Magnoliopsida; Lamiales; Oleaceae. The record is from RNAcentral.